Molecule: ribosomal RNA, 244 nt
Filed under: uncultured bacterium
Lineage: Bacteria
Description: partial 16S ribosomal RNA
Rfam family: Bacterial small subunit ribosomal RNA
Source: RNAcentral
UAGGGGGCAAGCGUUAUCCGGAUUUACUGGGUGUAAAGGGAGCGUAGACGGAUAGAUAAGUCUGAAGUGAAAUGCCAGUGCUCAACACUGGAACUGCUUUGGAAACUGUGAAUCUAGAGUGCGGGAGAGGUAAGUGGAAUUCCUAGUGUAGCGGUGAAAUGCGUAGAUAUUAGGAGGAACACCAGUGGCGAAGGCGGCUUACUGGACCGUAACUGACGUUGAGGCUCGAAAGCGUGGGGAGCAA